Cloeon dipterum is the source of this 1042-nucleotide long non-coding RNA. RefSeq lists it as uncharacterized. The transcript is spliced from 2 exons. The record is from RefSeq and is a predicted model, not a curated record. NCBI's taxonomy places the organism in Eukaryota, Metazoa, Arthropoda, Insecta, Ephemeroptera, Baetidae.
UCACAAGUUUUUAUCAAUCUCUAUAAAUAGCAUUUUGAUGAAUAUGUUCAUCAGUUGCAGAUUGAACAAAAAAUAAAUUAGCUCUGCGGUGAAAAGACCCUAAGCCUGGGAGAGUAAAAAGUUCGCUUCUUCAACGCAAUGCUGAGCAAAAAAUUAAUUGGAAUUGGCGCAUCGCAAAAAGUCGAAUCCAGUCACGAUCGAGUUGGCCGGAGCGAUCAAGCCGGCGAGCAUAAAUAACGUACCCCGCAACCCCUGCUUCAAUGAAUGUUUUUACCAAAACCUAUAAUUGGUCAGGGCGGGCGUUCAAGGCCCUGGCGUUGUUCAGCACCAGCAGCAGGGCAAGUACACGCGCGAAAUUUUGUCGUUCGCCAACAAUAGAGAAAGGAGGCAGUGACUCUGACAUUGGCCCAAGGUCAGAGUCGACCUGCUGCACGGCUGUUUUAGUAGGAGGAGGAUUCGCUGGCGGGUGUGGCCCUGGGAGGGGAGCCAGGCGCGAACACACCUCAACCACCUGCCCUGAACACGAGAGAAGCCGGUAUAAAAGGGCUCGAACGCUUAGCCAAAGCAUCAGUCUUGCAACAGACAGCUCAACAAACCUCAACCAACCAUGUACAAGCUUAUGAUCCUCGUCCUCGCCCUCGUGGCCGUUGCUGCUUCCCAGUACAUCAGCCCGUACGCUUAUGGCGGCUACAACGCCUACAACGGCGUGUACCGUGGUGCCUACGCCAGCCCCUACGUUGCCGGAGUCGCUGCCACCCCCUACGCCUACAGCAACCUGGGCUACCGCGCUGGAUACCCCGCUGCUUACUCCUACCUUGGUUAAGCUGAGUUUGUAACUGAUCCGGGGACCGGAAACCGUCCUAGGUGCCGGACCCUGGUCCAGAGAGCUGUCCAACUUGCUGUCUGAUCCCUCAACCAACGACCGACCCUUGCUCAACGCCCCGCGGACUCAUGAUUUGGAAUUUGCGAUUCUGAUUUGACUGACAAGGAUUUCACAUUUCGGCAAAAGCUAAAUAAAACUUGGCUAUAUUUUGCAAAAAAA